GGUAGGACUCUCGGCAAUGGAUAUCUCAGCUCUCGCAUCGAUGAAGAAUGUAGUGAAAUGCGAUACGCGGUGUGAAUUGCAGAAUCCCACGAACCAUCGAGUCUUUGAAUGCAAGUUGCGCCCGAGGCCAUCCGGCCGAGGGCACGCCUACCUGGGCAUCACUC
Molecule: ribosomal RNA, 164 nt
Filed under: Eugeissona tristis
Lineage: Eukaryota; Viridiplantae; Streptophyta; Magnoliopsida; Arecales; Arecaceae
Description: 5.8S ribosomal RNA
Rfam family: 5.8S ribosomal RNA
About the family: 5.8S ribosomal RNA (5.8S rRNA) is a component of the large subunit of the eukaryotic ribosome. It is transcribed by RNA polymerase I as part of the 45S precursor that also contains 18S and 28S rRNA.
Source: RNAcentral